CUCGGGGGCCAUUUUGUGAAGAGACGAAGGCUGAGCGGUUGCGGCCGCCUUGCUGACCUCGAGCAGCGGUCGACUUCUUCAUAUAGAAUCUGGGAGUAGGAGAUUCAGAAUCGAAUCUCUUYUCCCUCCCCCUCCUGGUUACAAAUCACUUGAAAUAUAUAAGUUAGUGGAUCUUUGCUGAGAAAUGGAUAUUCACAUGUAAUCAAGGAAAAAAAAGUAUAUCAGGAGCUCUAGCCACAGACUAUCGAACMAUUCUAGAUGUUUUCUCAACUAGGUAAGAAUCUGAUUGUACUC
Molecule: long non-coding RNA, 294 nt
Filed under: Urocitellus parryii (Arctic ground squirrel)
Lineage: Eukaryota; Metazoa; Chordata; Mammalia; Rodentia; Sciuridae
Description: lncRNA (ENSUPAG00010002293.1)
Source: RNAcentral